Xenopus laevis (African clawed frog) is the source of this 444-nucleotide long non-coding RNA. RefSeq lists it as uncharacterized. NCBI's taxonomy places the organism in Eukaryota, Metazoa, Chordata, Amphibia, Anura, Pipidae. The record is from RefSeq and is a predicted model, not a curated record. The transcript is spliced from 3 exons.
GUCCGCUUCUUUCCGGGAACCAAUGAACAAACAAGGCUCAGGGGAGGGGCAGAACCGGAAGCGGCAGCGUUCCCCAAUCGAGUUGUCCUCGGCGCGUUUGUAGUCCCACAAUGCACUGCGCUGUUGAUGUCUUAGGGCCCAAGACUGGGCAGUAGUUUUGGCCCUGUGGCUGGAAUGGGUACGAUGAAGGCCAUAUUGUUGGACAGACCUGAUGACGGGUCAAGGAGCUUUAUCCUCUUUUCCGUUUCAAUCAUCCUCUGAUGUUGUGCCCAUUGUCCCCAGCAACAUAUUAUUACAGCAAAUACAAACAGAAAUAUGACCAUAUAGAAGAAUUUCUGGGCUGCAUCUUGAUAAGUAGAGUCUUCCGAAUCAGAAUCAUCAUCAAAUUUUGUUUUGUGCUUCAUUUUUCUCUCUGCAUCAUCAAAAUAAAGAUUAUAUUAUUUC